This 1090-nucleotide long non-coding RNA is filed under the name Capsicum annuum. RNAcentral's name for it is "long non-coding RNA (CANN_LNC005965)". Lineage: Eukaryota; Viridiplantae; Streptophyta; Magnoliopsida; Solanales; Solanaceae. The record is from RNAcentral.
CAACAUUUACCUUAAUAUAUAUAUUGUACAAACCAUUCCACAAACAAUACCAUGCAACACUUGAUCUCAUUCAUGGCAUUCUUGGACUAUUAUUGAAGUUAGCCAACAACAUUGUUCGCAACAAAUUUUAAAAGCGUCGAAAAUUAACUACAACCAAAGAUAAAUAAAAGAAAAAAAGUAAUUUUUAUUAAUGAAUCUUGUGAGUACAAUUAUGUAACUCUCUCGAUUCUUCUCUCUUAAACUUAGAAAUGAUCCGAGGGCCUUCAAUAGCGUGUUUCUCAAAUUGUUGAAUGGUUUGGAUUCCUAGAGAUGUAUUUCAAUCACCGAAAAUGCCAAAAAGUAUUUUUGUUGCUUUGGAAUAAUCUCUGGGAAGAUCUCCGUUGAUUUCUCCUUGCAAGAAAUUGAUAGUCUAUGCCGAUGUUGCCAAUGCUUCCAAUGCUUGUCAAAGUCAUCUUUUUUUUUCGUCCUUAGAAUGUAAUGUUACUCCCUAUUUAUAGUUGUAGGGAGUAGGCCGGGUUGCUUGUGAUUGGCCGAAAUAUGUCAUUUUGACACUUGACGACUUUUGACAGGUUCUUGAAUUUGAAUUAGAUUUCCACAUCAUUUAUACAUGUGGCAUCAUUUCGUUGGUCUUCGAUUUGAUGGGGACGCCAAAUCACGUUGACACUUGGCAAGAGUCUGGGCUCCAAAGUACAAUGGACCUUCAUCUUGAAUUUGGUAAAAUUGACCAACUAAUUUGUAAUUCCCAAAUUGGAUAAUUAACUCAAAUGAUCGUGACUAAAAUUCAAAUUUUGUUUGAAUUUAAUCCGUUGAAUCUUAUAUGUCUACAAAUACUCCUUGCGUCGAGACUUGUCAACUUGUAGGCUUGCCGAAACUUGGCGGCGAGACUUGAAGUUCUCAUGAAUGUGUUUUUAUUUUCGUGAUUUCAAAGGUAUUUGUUUCUCAUCGGUGAAUCCUAGUUAGACCAAUACUUACGAGUAGUUUAACUAAAGUUUCCUCCGUGAACUUUCAUGUUGUGAAAGGUUUUGUCAAAGCAACCAAUGAUUUGCUUGUGGCGAUCCUCAUUUUUCGCCCUCAAAUGACUACAAACUCG